RNAcentral lists this long non-coding RNA (5425 nucleotides) under Homo sapiens (human). RNAcentral describes it as "HSALNT0240618". Lineage: Eukaryota; Metazoa; Chordata; Mammalia; Primates; Hominidae. The record is from RNAcentral.
GCAAGAUUUCCUGCUUCCAUGAUGAUGAAAGGCAUGUAGAGUUUGAGCUCACUCCCAGCAGGGAAGACCAGUUUGAGUUUUUUUCCUGCUUCUAGGGUGGUAGAAAGCAGCCUUCAGCCUGAGACCCAUCCCUAGAAGAGAAAGAAAAGAAGGAAAGAAAGCAAGCAAGCAAGAAAGCAAGCAAGCAAGAAAGAAAGAAAGAAAGAAAGAAAGAAAGAAAGAAAGAAAGAAAGAAAGAAAGAAAGAAAAGAAAAAGAAAGAAAAGAAGAGCCUUAAGGUCAACCUACAAACUACAGAGUUCCUAAGUUCUCUUUUUUCUCUAUUUUCUUUUCUGCCUGCUUUAAAUCUGCUGUUAUUUUUCUAUUAAGAUCAAAACCACUGUUUGGAUACAACAGGCUUUUUGUUUGCAACCUGGUGAAUUUGUAUUUGUCUCAUGGCUAAAGUUCUGAAGUAAAAGCUAUAGGAUUUCUGUGUGUGUGUUUGUGUGUGUGUGUGUGUGUGUGUGUGUAUCUAUUUAAAAGGCCUUUAUAAUUUUUAUAAUUUUAUGUUUAAUUGGCAAUUAAAUCCAUUUUGACUUCCCUCUAGCACCACCAGACUUUUUCUCUCUGUACCUUAUGAUAUAAUUUUGCUAUUUGAUUUUUGCCUGAGUUGUUUCCUUUAACAUGCAAACUUAAGGCUAUUUAGCUGACAACUCCCUAGGGGAGUAAAACAGGUUAUUAAGAAUUUGAAAGCCUAAGAUAGGGGAAAAAAGCUCCUUAAGUAUCUAUACGAUGUACUUCUAUCAGCAUGCCUACUAUGUCUAUAUAUUUAUGUGAUGUGUACACAAUUUCUCGCUACUGAAAAUAUAUAAAAGAGUUCUAAUUAAUUGGCUUAAGAUAAAAAGCACUUGAAUCUAAUACUUUAUCAGGAAAAAAGAAAAGACUAGUUGAAUGCUUUCUGAAGUUUAUGUAACAAGUAAAAUCUUUAAUAAAUAAGCUAGCUUUAAAAUUAUUGGUAAAGUAAUAUUAGACAUGUCUUAAAAAUUGCCAGCAUGCAUUUUUGUUUGCAUUUAUUAAUCAAGCAAUUUCAUGCUUAUCCCUGUCAAAUACCAUAAGGUGUCAAAAUUUGCCAUGGAGUUACAAAACUGUAAUAGAAUGAUCUUUGCUUGUAUAAUCUUUAAUAAAUAAGACAUUGAUAUUGGUUUAAUAAAAAUAGUCACAUCUUGAAUUUAGUGAGAUUACUGUAACUUCUAAUUUUGUGGUUUUGGUGGUCUAGUCCACAGGCAGUAAGAUUUAGUUUGAGAAUGAACUGUUAUAAUCUUUGUUUCAAAGGUAAACUAUAAACUAUGUUCCUCUCAACGUCUGUUCAGCCUGUGCCCAGGAUUGAACAAGAACAGUUUGGAGGUUAGAAGCAAGAUGGAGUCAAUUAGGUCAGAUCUUUUUCACUGUCUCAGUUAUAAUUUUGCAAUGGCAGUUCCAUAACUUUAAAUGAUGACUAUUGCAGUUUUCAUAAAUAAUCUAGGUAAACAAUUCCUUUUUAAAAAGGUGAACAAUUGUCAUCUAAUUCAAUGCUUAUUUAAAGAUUAUGUAUAAGACAAGUUAAAAGGAACCAGGAAAUCAGAGAGAUGUAAAGAAAGGUAUAAAAAUAAAGAGGAUAAAGAGGGUUCUUUUUGGUAAGGAAGCUUAAAGAGAAAUAAUUUCAUAUGAGAAAAGAUCUUGUAUGGUAAAUUUAGACCUAAAAUAAAAUGAUUGUUUAAGAAAGAUGGAUGUUCAAAACAAACCAGAAAGUCCAAGCAUAUCAUGAACAGUCUGUAAAAGUCAUAAUAAGAGGAUUAAAAAAAAAACCAACAAACUUUUAUAUGGUCAAGUUGUCUGUAAUUAAAAGGAAAUUAUAAUAGUCUUCCUGAAGAUUGGGCUUCAUGUAAAAAAAAAAAAGCAAUGAUAAACAAAAUAGUUAGAGCGAUGAAAUUUUCUUAAGGGAUUGAUUUACUCUUAUUAAAUUAUAAGAGAUUUUAAUUUUUUUAACCCAAAGUUCAACUGUUUACUCGCUGUUUUCUCUCCCCUUCAACUCGUUUGCAGCUCAUAUAAGUUAUUUUCCUUAAAUUCUAUUUGUUAUGGUCUGAUGCUAACAAUGUUUUCUAAAAGUCUAAAGAAAAUGUUUUCUUCCAAAGUAAUAUUCUGUGCAGUGUAGAAGGUCUUUUCUUUUGCCUUUGGGUAAUUGACCUAACAGAUUUUAUGGCUUAUUGAAACAAUGCUAUGCUGUUAUUAUUAAUUUUUGAUUUGCUCAGGAAAAAGUAUCUGAGAUAAUUUUUUAAAAUUAAGGUUAUUACAUCCAUGUAUAUUUCUGUAGGUGCUUUGAAAGUACCUGUGACAUUAAGUUACAGGCCUUUGACUCCUGGGUCUAAAAAGGACACCAAGGUCUGCUAAAUCUUAAGCACUGACAGCAAUUAAAACCUCAUCUUCAGGCCUGGUAGAAGAUGCCAAUCAAAAUAAACUGCAUUCCUGAGACAUAAGGCCAGAAGUAAAAGCUAUUCAACUCCUCAAGGCUCAGGAACUACCACAGAAGAGUCCUUUUUAGAAGAUGGUUUUAUAAUCAGCUAUAAAACUCUAACACGUGUUCUUGAAGGCAAGUUUCUAAUAACUUUGGAGACUGUGACAUCAGAAUGGAGGAAAAGCUUUCAGAACUCAUGGAGACCUGAAAUGUUCAUGAAUAGCAAGCAGAACAGGAAUUAACUGCAUGAACUGAACUAAUAGAAGAGCAACGUAAUCUUUUUGACUUUUUGCUUAAAAUGUUGCUGCUCCUUGUUUUCCUUUUUUUAGUCAAGGAAACUUUUAUUUGAGCUGUUGUCAGCUUUUAACAAGUUAGUAUACUCCUGUGAAAAAUAUUUGGAGCAUAUUUGUUUCUCUCUACCUGAUUUUCCCCAGAAUUGGAAACUAUCUGUGAGUAUUCUUAACUUAUGGCAAUACAGUUAUUUGCAUAAGUGCAAUAAUAAUCUGUUUUCAUGUGUAACAAGACACAAUUGGAGAAAUUGGUCAUUUUACCAAGGCUUUGACUGGAAUGGUGUGCUCUCCUUUAAGGAAUCAAAUUUGACUUAUGGAGCCAAUAAAAGCCCCUUGGGAGAACUGGCCUCAUACCUUAUCUACACAGUCCCUGUACAGGGUUCCUGACCUGUGGUAAGUAAAGCAUGUCACUUUCUAACAGUUCCAGGAGCCCCAAGUUUAUCUUGGAACCUCAAGAGCAGAGGAAUUCAUGCAACUCAUAGGUAUUUGAUGGUACAAAUCCAUGGCUAGGCUAAGCUUUCCAAAAGUCUUAUCCGAAAUUCCUUCUAUGGAACAAAGUUCUGAUAGGGACAGGGGGCUGAGAAAUUCUAGGCAGAAAAGGGUAGGUCUCUGACAAAACCCCACCUUCAAGCUGAAAAGCCUUAAACCACGGCCCAAAGUGAGAACUUAUAUCCCUGUUUUCCUGCUUGAAAGUUGCCUUUUUCUAAACCACUCAUGGCUCCAUCCUGUCCAUCCUAUGCCUGUGAAGAUGCCAGACUCAGCUGGCAGAGGCAAGAAGCAGCUGGACAUUGGGAACUACAGCUGGACGUCAGAGAGAAGCAGCUUGAUUCAGAGGGACAGCUUGAUGGUGUAAUCUUGGAGAAGAAUCCAGCUGGAUACAGCCUAACUUUGAGGAAGAUUACCUACCCACCCCAUCCUUUUUCAGCUCCGCUUUCUGCUAAGAGCCACUUUCAUCAGCAACAAAAUCCCCCACAUUUACCAUCCUUUGAUUGGUUCAUGUGACCUCACUUUUCCUGGACACAAGACAAGAGCUUGGGAGCCAGGAGAGCAGAUACAAAAGACUGUCACACUGGCCCUCUGCCCUUGCUGGUGGAGGGCAGCUGCCUCACACAAAAAGGCAGAGGCCUCACUGAGCUGUUGACACUUAAGCCAUCCAUGGAAGGCAGAGUUAAAAGAACACUGUAACAUGCCCUCUGGGGCUAUGGGGGUCGCAGGCACCCCCACCUAGAUGCUGCUGUGGGGCCCACACAGAGUUUGCUCCUGCCGGUGGCCAAAAGCACUCACUUUGGCUCCUGCACUGAUUCACCUGCAUGCUUCCUCCCACAAGCAGGGGACUGCAGCAGGUCCCAGUGAGUGAAGUUUGAUCCUACCGUGCUGCAGUGCCGAUUCCAGCACACGUGCACUCCAGUUCCUGCCUCAUUUGCUUGCAUGCUCGCUCCUGCAAGGAGUUGAGAGUGGCAGGCUGAAUAAACGAGGCACCCGUCACAAGUCCCACAAAGGGGUCAGGGAAACAUCCUGCUUCAGUUCCAUCAAAGGCAAUUUAAAAGCUUAUGCAAAAAAAAAGUAUUACUAUGGCUGCGCUGUAUACAAAUAAUCAGGUCAAGUAUAAUAAAGAAAAUCAGCCCUGCCAUGAUUUGUCUUUAGUAAAAAUGGGAAAUGGGAGAGAGAAGAAUUAUGUUUCAAAAAAUGAUAAUACACCUGUUGUUAGAUUCUAGUCUUGCCUAAUGUUUUCCCAUUUUUAUUAUUUUCUACAGUUUCCACUGAAUUCUAAUUUUUCUUGGCUACAGGUCUUCAAAAGAUUGUUUUCAGUUUUUUUUUCUUCUUCUUUCCCCCAUUUUUCCUAAUUUGGAGUCACUGAAAACUCAUCUGUGCUUUUGUAAAGCCCUGCGAACUGGAGCUAGAGAAUUUAAACUUCAGAAGAAAAUACCAGCAACCUGUUUACAUACAUAAGCCACUUUCAUACCUGCCUACUGAUGUAUGGACUUCAGAGUAAUGUGGCCCAUAUUGAUUUUCCAGGAUUGUUCUUUUGUUUAUUUUUGUUUUUCUCCCUUCCUCCCCCUAUUUUCUCUUCAUAGGACAUGAAACUUCACAACCUGCUAAAAAUGAACUUUCCUAAUAACUCAGGAAUUAUCUUUCUAGGAAUAAACAAUCCUAGCCAUGAGAUAUCAGAUGAAACUUGAGACCAAAGACUGACUUUCUUCAAAAAGGCUUUCUCAAAAAGAUUUUUAAGAAAAGGGGGGAAAUUUGAAAGGAAAAUAAACCUUGGGGCCCUGAAAUCACUAAGGUAAAGGGGAAAGUCAAGCUGGGAACUGCUUAGGGCAAACCUGCCUCCCAUUCUAUUCACAGUCACCCCUCUGCUCACUGAGUUAAAUGCAUAUCUGAUUGCCUCCUUUGGAAAGGCUAAUCAGAAACUCUAAAGAAAGCAACCAUUUGUCUCUUAUCUACCUAUGACCUGGAAGCCCCUCCCCGCUUAGACUUGUCCCGCCUUUUCCGGACGGAACCACUGUUCAUCUUACAUAUGUUGAUUGAUGUCUCAUGUCUCCCUAAAAUGUAUAAAACCAAGCUGUGCUCUGACCACUUUGGGCACAUGUCUUCAGAACCUCCUGAGGCUGUGUCACAGGUGUACAUCCCCAACCUUGGCAAAAUAAACUUUCUAAAUAAACUGA